Non-coding RNA from Prunus mume (Japanese apricot), 807 nucleotides. The record is from RefSeq and is a predicted model, not a curated record. Lineage: Eukaryota; Viridiplantae; Streptophyta; Magnoliopsida; Rosales; Rosaceae.
AACCAAAGGCCGCCGCUGCUCACACUUAUUCUCCUCUCUUAUGCCUUAGUGCUCCUGUUAUGGCAUUGAUUGUCUGGAAUUUGCUUGGACUCUCUGAAUUUUGGAAAAAAGAAAGUGUUUUUAUUUUAGUUUUGUUGGUGUAAUUAGACGAUAUGUAGUAUGUCAAAAAUUUGAAUCCAGUCAAGUUAAUUUGGUGUGUGCAUAUUAGAUAACCGAUAUUUGAUAUUAUAGUUAUUUGUUUAUGGAUCAUAGAUCUCAUUUCUUCUAACUUCAUUGACAUCAUCAUCCUUUUUUUGUUUUGUUUUUUGUUGUUGUUGUUGUUGUUGUAUUUAACAAUGUAAUUGCAAACAGGGAACAAAGGUGAAGAACCUGUUGAAGAAAAAGGUGAAGAACCUGUUGAAGAAAAAUGUGAACCUCCCAAGUCAAACCUCAAGGUGCCUACGUAUCCUUUUACGGAAAUCAGAACCAAAGGCUGAUCUUGAUAGCACCUACAUUCCUUUCAUCCAGCACUCUCGUCCUAUUGGUGAAUGCAAGUAUUGUUUAAAGGUGGGUGAGCACGUGACGCAACCAUGCCCUUACCAAGAUCGUGUCCCAAAGAAUGCAAUUCUCGGCAGUGGUUGUGAUGUAGUUUGUAGAGUAUGUGGUUGGUUCUUUAGAGGGUCCUGUUGUGGCCAAGAUGAAGGACGUGCGGUUCUCAAGAAUUGUAUUUCUGUCAAGCGUUGUCUGAAAUCGUAGAGAAUGGAGUAGCUACUGUUUCUCUAAAGUUAAUUAUGAUUUAAAGCAUAAAUAGACAUUUUAUUUUUCUAA